Molecule: unclassified non-coding RNA, 295 nt
Filed under: uncultured fungus
Lineage: Eukaryota; Fungi
Description: sequence contains ITS1
Source: RNAcentral
GGGACUACCGGGGUUUCUAAUCCUGUUCGCUCCCCAUGCUUUCGCUCCUCAGCGUCAGUCACGGCCCAGAGCGGCGCCUUCGCCACUGGUGUUCCUCCUGAUAUCUGCGCAUUUCACCGCUACACCAGGAAUUCCCCGCUCCCCUACCGCACUCGAGUCACAGCAGUAUCGGGUGGCGGCUCUGGGUUGAGCCCAGAGUUUUCACACCCGACUUACCGAACCGCCUACGAGCUCUUUACGCCCAAUAAAUCCGGACAACGCUUGGUGCCUACGUGUUACCGCGGCGGCUGGCACC